RNAcentral lists this ribosomal RNA (87 nucleotides) under Pseudomonas putida. RNAcentral describes it as "partial 16S ribosomal RNA". The stretch from base 1 to 77 matches the Rfam family "Bacterial small subunit ribosomal RNA", at positions 1457 to 1533 of the family's 1533-position model. Lineage: Bacteria; Pseudomonadati; Pseudomonadota; Gammaproteobacteria; Pseudomonadales; Pseudomonadaceae. The record is from RNAcentral.
CCACGGUGUGAUUCAUGACUGGGGUGAAGUCGUAACAAGGUAGCCGUAGGGGAACCUGCGGCUGGAUCACCUCCUUAAUCGACGACA